This 220-nucleotide ribosomal RNA is filed under the name uncultured bacterium. Its description in RNAcentral is "partial 16S ribosomal RNA". It matches the Rfam family "Bacterial small subunit ribosomal RNA", at positions 30 to 244 of the family's 1533-position model. The record is from RNAcentral.
AUUGAACGCUGGCGGCAGGCCUAACACAUGCAAGUCGAGCGGUAACACAGAGAGCUUGCUCUCGGGUGACGAGCGGCGGACGGGUGAGUAAUGUCUGGGAAACUGCCUGAUGGAGGGGGGAUAACUACUGGAAACGGUAGCUAAUACCGCAUAAUGUCGCAAGACCAAAGAGGGGGACCGUUAGGGCCUCUUGCCAUCGGAUGUGCCCAGAUGGGAUUAG